This 74-nucleotide transfer RNA is filed under the name bacterium. Its description in RNAcentral is "tRNA-Met". It matches the Rfam family "tRNA". Rfam says of the family: Transfer RNA (tRNA) molecules are approximately 80 nucleotides in length. Their secondary structure includes four short double-helical elements and three loops (D, anti-codon, and T loops). The record is from RNAcentral. RNAcentral also lists the same sequence under 4 other names.
GCCGAUGUAGCUCAGCUGGUUAGAGCGUUGGAUUCAUAACCCGAAGGUCGGCGGUUCGAGUCCGCCCAUCGGCA